UCCUCUCUCUCUCUCUCUCCUCCCUCUCUCUCAGGUGUGUCCUGUGCAGUGUCAGCAGCCCAGAAGGAUGAGUUGAUUCUGGAGGGGGAACGAUAUUGAGCUGGUGUCUAACUCUGCCGCUCUCAUCCAGCAAGCCACCACGGUCAAGAAUAAAGACAUCAGGAAGUUCUUGGACGGUAUCUAUGUGUCUGAGAAGGGCACAGUCGUCCAGAAGGAGGAUUAGAGCGGCUCUGAUCCAACAAGCCACCACGGUCAAGAAGAAAGACAUCAGGAAGUUCCUGGAUGGGAUCUACGUCAGUGAGAAGACGACUGUUGUGGAACAGACGGGCGAAUAACGAUACAUCUCUGGAACUCACUGUUGACCAAUAAAAUCAUUUUUUUUCCCUCCUCCAA
Molecule: non-coding RNA, 393 nt
Organism: Salmo salar (Atlantic salmon)
Lineage: Eukaryota; Metazoa; Chordata; Actinopteri; Salmoniformes; Salmonidae
Source: RefSeq, a predicted model, not a curated record